This 875-nucleotide ribosomal RNA is filed under the name uncultured marine group I thaumarchaeote. Its description in RNAcentral is "bacterial SSU rRNA". It matches the Rfam family "Archaeal small subunit ribosomal RNA", at positions 21 to 903 of the family's 1478-position model. Lineage: Archaea; Thermoproteati; Nitrososphaerota. The record is from RNAcentral.
CCUGACUGCUAUCGGAUUGAUACUAAGCCAUGCGAGUCAUUGUAGCAAUACAAGGCAUACGGCUCAGUAACGCGUAGUCAACCUAACCUAUGGACGGGAAUAACCUCGGGAAACUGAGAAUAAUGCCCGAUGGAACACUAUACCUGGAAUGGUUUGUGUUCCAAAUGAUUUAUCGCCAUAGGAUGGGACUGCGGCCUAUCAGUUUGUUGGUGAGGUAAUGGCCCACCAAGACUAUUACAGGUACGGGCUCUGAGAGGAGUAGCCCGGAGAUGGGUACUGAGACACGGACCCAGGCCCUAUGGGGCGCAGCAGGCGAGAAAACUUUGCAAUGUGCGAAAGCACGACAAGGUUAAUCCGAGUGAUUUGUGCUAAACGAAUCUUUUGUUAGUCCUAGAAACACUAACGAAUAAGGGGUGGGCAAGUUCUGGUGUCAGCCGCCGCGGUAAAACCAGCACCUCAAGUGGUCAGGAUGAUUAUUGGGCCUAAAGCAUCCGUAGCCGGCUCUGUAAGUUUUCGGUUAAAUCUGUACGCUUAACGUACAGGCUGCCGGGAAUACUGCAGAGCUAGGGAGUGGGAGAGGUAGACGGUACUCGGUAGGAAGUGGUAAAAUGCUUUGAUCUAUCGAUGACCACCUGUGGCGAAGGCGGUCUACCAGAACACGUCCGACGGUGAGGGAUGAAAGCUGGGGGAGCAAACCGGAUUAGAUACCCGGGGAGUCCCAGCUGUAAACUAUGCAAACUCAGUGAUGCAUUGGCUUGUGGCCAAUGCAGUGCUGCAGGGAAGCCGUUAAGUUUGCCGCCUGGGAAGUACGUACGCAAGUAUGAAACUUAAAGGAAUUGGCGGGGGAGCACCACAAGGGGUGAAGCCUGCGGUUC